GAAGGGGUGUAUUUAUUAGAUAAAAAACCAAUGCCCUUCGGGGCUCUUUGGUGAUUCAUGAUAACUUUACGGAUCGCAUAGCCUUGCGCUGGCGACGGUUCAUUCAAAUUUCUGCCCUAUCAACUUUCAAUGGUAAGGUAUUGGCUUACCAUGGUUUCAACGGGUAACGGGGAAUUAGGGUUCGAUUCCGGAGAGGGAGCCUGAGAAACGGCUACCACAUCCAAGGAAGGCAGCAGGCGCGCAAAUUACCCAAUCCCGACACGGGGAGGUAGUGACAAUAAAUACUGAUACAGGGCUCUUUUGGGUCUUGUAAUUGGAAUGAGUACAAUUUAAACCUCUUAACGAGGAACAAUUGGAGGGCAAGUCUGGUGCCAGCAGCCGCGGUAAUUCCAGCUCCAAUAGCGUAUAUUAAAGUUGUUGCAGUUAAAAAGCUCGUAGUUGAAACUUGGGCCUGGCUGGCGGGUCCGCCUCACCGCGUGCACUCGUCCGGCCGGGCCUUCCUUCUGAAGAACCUCAUGCCCUUCACUGGGCGUGUUGGGGAAUCAGGACUUUUACUUUGAAAAAAUUAGAGUGUUCAAAGCAGGCCUUUGCUCGAAUACGUUAGCAUGGAAUAAUAAAAUA
Molecule: ribosomal RNA, 621 nt
Filed under: Pleosporales sp. ODP62003fw0
Lineage: Eukaryota; Fungi; Ascomycota; Dothideomycetes; Pleosporales
Description: SSU rRNA
Rfam family: Eukaryotic small subunit ribosomal RNA
Source: RNAcentral